GGUCAGAAUAAGAAUGUACAAAGUCUAAGACUAUUUUCUAUAGCAUAUUUUUAAAUAGAUUCAGAGUCAUGCACUCUCUGUCUUCUUUCUCCAUCUACACUGUCUUCUGGCAAUAAUAAAGUUGGGGAAUCUACAUAAAAAAGCGACUUCUAAGGAUGCCAAAUGAAUAGCAGUUUCUGGGUCAUUCCCAUUUCUUCCUCUGUGAAAGUGUACAACACAUGAGUUACUCUACACAUUUCCUCCAAACCCCAAAGUGUUAGGUUGCCAAAGAAAGCUCAUCAGGUAAUAUUACUCUUUGCCUUCAUGUAAUAAUUUUAAGUACAUACAAAAAUCAGACAUUAACAUGAAAAUAUCAAGCCAUAGAAUUGAGUUUUAGUUUUACUGACAUUUAAGAUCACACUUCCUGUUUAUGAUUUCAGAAAUGCAACCAUGCAGUGCUUCUAUUAAAAACUGAGUGAUUGAGAACAGUUUGAGGAUUAUAAUGACAACUUAUCCAAAGGAAAAAAAAAACCUAAACUGCUGCCUUCAUUUGUGGAAUUGCUAUCUUUGUUGUGUAAAAAGUUGAAUACUUUUCAAACAUCAUUUACUAAUAGUGUAGUUAAAAGGGGAACUUGGUGGUCUGUGUCCCUAAAACACACACACACACACACACACACACACACACGCACAUGCACACACACACACACAUAUAUAGUAAGGGUAAUACUUGCAAAAAUUUUUCUUUUUUCACUCCUUUUUAGAUGUCAGUUACUAAUUGGUUAUUGUUAUGCAUUAAUUAACAGUCCCACCUGAAGGAGGGAAAUUGUAGAGGUGAAUGCAAUUCUUAAAUAAAAGCCCCUUUCUUUCAUUAUUUAUUUGUUCUAUUUGAAGCAUAAUCAUGUGAGUUUAUUUUUUCGUGUCACUUCAGAGUUUGUGUGGGGGGACUGUAUGUGGAGAGAGAGAGCACCCAAGUGAGCAAUGACUCUUAGACAUCCAAAUCCAUGUUCUCAUUUCUUUUUGGCCACACAGAUAAACUUAUUCCUAGCCUCCCCUGCAGGCAGAUGUGGGCAUGUGACCAAGUUAGAGCCAAUGGAAUUAGGAAUGGCAGUUAUAUGCACUACUUUUGAGUCUCCUUAAAAACUCCCCUUCUAACGGACUGGUACUGAAGUCUGCUACUGAAAGCCUAGGUACUAGAACACCUUGGAAACUAAGCACUGAACUAGUGUAUUUUAGCAAGAAACUUGAUUAUAACAAAUAUAAUUUGAGCCAUUAUACAUUUUUGGGUUGAUCUGUAUGGCAGUUAGCCUACCCUAAUUAAUUUAAUAUACAGAACUUAUAUUUUGGCAGUGUCCCUGUGAUGCACAACUCCAUUGGGCACUAUUUACAUUGUAAUAUAUGUAAAUGUCAUUUCCUGAAGCAGGAUUAAGAAGCUACAGAAUGUAUCUUCCAGGAGGACAGGCCUAUAUCUUUUUUUGGUUGACUCCAGCGCCUAGCAAGUGUUUAACACACAAAUCAGAUUGGUUCCUGGAAGUGGAAGUACUGUAUGAAAGAUUUGGACAUUUUUAUGACCCUAGAAAGAGAGACAGCCAGCGAGAGAGGGAACACAAGC
Molecule: long non-coding RNA, 1588 nt
Organism: Ailuropoda melanoleuca (giant panda)
Lineage: Eukaryota; Metazoa; Chordata; Mammalia; Carnivora; Ursidae
Exons: 4
Source: RefSeq, a predicted model, not a curated record